GAUGAACGCUGACAGAAUGCUUAACACAUGCAAGUCAACUUGAACUUCGGUUUGGGUGGCGGACGGGUGAGUCACGCGUAAAGAACUUGCCUCACAGUUAGGGACAACAUUUGGAAACGAAUGCUAAUACCUGAUAUUAUGAUUUUAGGGCAUCCUAGAAUUAUGAAAGCUAUAUGCGCUGUGAGAGAGCUUUGCGUCCCAUUAGCUAGUUGGAGAGGUAACGGCUCACCAAGGCGAUGAUGGGUAGCCGGCCUGAGAGGGUGAACGGCCACAAGGGGACUGAGACACGGCCCUUACUCCUACGGGAGGCAGCAGUGGGGAAUAUUGGACAAUGGACCAAGAGUCUGAUCCAGCAAUUCUGUGUGCACGAUGAAGUUUUUCGGAAUGUAAAGUGCUUUCAGUUGGGAAGAAAAAAAUGACGGUACCAACAGAAGAAGUGACGGCUAAAUACGUG
RNAcentral lists this ribosomal RNA (454 nucleotides) under uncultured bacterium. Its description in RNAcentral is "partial 16S ribosomal RNA". It matches the Rfam family "Bacterial small subunit ribosomal RNA", at positions 28 to 507 of the family's 1533-position model. The record is from RNAcentral.